This 2758-nucleotide ribosomal RNA is filed under the name Escherichia coli. RNAcentral's name for it is "partial 23S ribosomal RNA". It matches the Rfam family "Bacterial large subunit ribosomal RNA". The record is from RNAcentral. Lineage: Bacteria; Pseudomonadati; Pseudomonadota; Gammaproteobacteria; Enterobacterales; Enterobacteriaceae.
AUGCCCUGGCAGUCAGAGGCGAUGAAGGACGUGCUAAUCUGCGAUAAGCGUCGGUAAGGUGAUAUGAACCGUUAUAACCGGCGAUUUCCGAAUGGGGAAACCCAGUGUGAUUCGUCACACUAUCAUUAACUGAAUCCAUAGGUUAAUGAGGCGAACCGGGGGAACUGAAACAUCUAAGUACCCCGAGGAAAAGAAAUCAACCGAGAUUCCCCCAGUAGCGGCGAGCGAACGGGGAGGAGCCCAGAGCCUGAAUCAGUGUGUGUGUUAGUGGAAGCGUCUGGAAAGGCGCGCGAUACAGGGUGACAGCCCCGUACACAAAAAUGCACAUACUGUGAGCUCGAUGAGUAGGGCGGGACACGUGGUAUCCUGUCUGAAUAUGGGGGGACCAUCCUCCAAGGCUAAAUACUCCUGACUGACCGAUAGUGAACCAGUACCGUGAGGGAAAGGCGAAAAGAACCCCGGCGAGGGGAGUGAAAAAGAACCUGAAACCGUGUACGUACAAGCAGUGGGAGCACAGAGCAAUCUGUGUGACUGCGUACCUUUUGUAUAAUGGGUCAGCGACUUAUAUUCUGUAGCAAGGUUAACCGAAUAGGGGAGCCGAAGGGAAACCGAGUCUUAACUGGGCGUUAAGUUGCAGGGUAUAGACCCGAAACCCGGUGAUCUAGCCAUGGGCAGGUUGAAGGUUGGGUAACACUAACUGGAGGACCGAACCGACUAAUGUUGAAAAAUUAGCGGAUGACUUGUGGCUGGGGGUGAAAGGCCAAUCAAACCGGGAGAUAGCUGGUUCUCCCCGAAAGCUAUUUAGGUAGCGCCUCGUGAAUUCAUCUCCGGGGGUAGAGCACUGUUUCGGCAAGGGGGUCAUCCCGACUUACCAACCCGAUGCAAACUGCGAAUACCGGAGAAUGUUAUCACGGGAGACACACGGCGGGUGCUAACGUCCGUCGUGAAGAGGGAAACAACCCAGACCGCCAGCUAAGGUCCCAAAGUCAUGGUUAAGUGGGAAACGAUGUGGGAAGGCCCAGACAGCCAGGAUGUUGGCUUAGAAGCAGCCAUCAUUUAAAGAAAGCGUAAUAGCUCACUGGUCGAGUCGGCCUGCGCGGAAGAUGUAACGGGGCUAAACCAUGCACCGAAGCUGCGGCAGCGACGCUGAUGCGUUGUUGGGUAGGGGAGCGUUCUGUAAGCCUGUGAAGGUGUGCUGUGAGGCAUGCUGGAGGUAUCAGAAGUGCGAAUGCUGACAUAAGUAACGAUAAAGCGGGUGAAAAGCCCGCUCGCCGGAAGACCAAGGGUUCCUGUCCAACGUUAAUCGGGGCAGGGUGAGUCGACCCCUAAGGCGAGGCCGAAAGGCGUAGUCGAUGGGAAACAGGUUAAUAUUCCUGUACUUGGUGUUACUGCGAAGGGGGGACGGAGAAGGCUAUGUUGGCCGGGCGACGGUUGUCCCGGUUUAAGCGUGUAGGCUGGUUUUCCAGGCAAAUCCGGAAAAUCAAGGCUGAGGCGUGAUGACGAGGCACUACGGUGCUGAAGCAACAAAUGCCCUGCUUCCAGGAAAAGCCUCUAAGCAUCAGGUAACAUCAAAUCGUACCCCAAACCGACACAGGUGGUCAGGUAGAGAAUACCAAGGCGCUUGAGAGAACUCGGGUGAAGGAACUAGGCAAAAUGGUGCCGUAACUUCGGGAGAAGGCACGCUGAUAUGUAGGUGAAGUCCCUCGCGGAUGGAGCUGAAAUCAGUCGAAGAUACCAGCUGGCUGCAACUGUUUAUUAAAAACACAGCACUGUGCAAACACGAAAGUGGACGUAUACGGUGUGACGCCUGCCCGGUGCCGGAAGGUUAAUUGAUGGGGUCAGCGCAAGCGAAGCUCUUGAUCGAAGCCCCGGUAAACGGCGGCCGUAACUAUAACGGUCCUAAGGUAGCGAAAUUCCUUGUCGGGUAAGUUCCGACCUGCACGAAUGGCGUAAUGAUGGCCAGGCUGUCUCCACCCGAGACUCAGUGAAAUUGAACUCGCUGUGAAGAUGCAGUGUACCCGCGGCAAGACGGAAAGACCCCGUGAACCUUUACUAUAGCUUGACACUGAACAUUGAGCCUUGAUGUGUAGGAUAGGUGGGAGGCUUUGAAGUGUGGACGCCAGUCUGCAUGGAGCCGACCUUGAAAUACCACCCUUUAAUGUUUGAUGUUCUAACGUUGACCCGUGAUCCGGGUUGCGGACAGUGUCUGGUGGGUAGUUUGACUGGGGCGGUCUCCUCCUAAAGAGUAACGGAGGAGCACGAAGGUUGGCUAAUCCUGGUCGGACAUCAGGAGGUUAGUGCAAUGGCAUAAGCCAGCUUGACUGCGAGCGUGACGGCGCGAGCAGGUGCGAAAGCAGGUCAUAGUGAUCCGGUGGUUCUGAAUGGAAGGGCCAUCGCUCAACGGAUAAAAGGUACUCCGGGGAUAACAGGCUGAUACCGCCCAAGAGUUCAUAUCGACGGCGGUGUUUGGCACCUCGAUGUCGGCUCAUCACAUCCUGGGGCUGAAGUAGGUCCCAAGGGUAUGGCUGUUCGCCAUUUAAAGUGGUACGCGAGCUGGGUUUAGAACGUCGUGAGACAGUUCGGUCCCUAUCUGCCGUGGGCGCUGGAGAACUGAGGGGGGCUGCUCCUAGUACGAGAGGACCGGAGUGGACGCAUCACUGGUGUUCGGGUUGUCAUGCCAAUGGCACUGCCCGGUAGCUAAAUGCGGAAGAGAUAAGUGCUGAAAGCAUCUAAGCACGAAACUUGCCCCGAGAUGAGU